GUCUUGCAUACAAAAACCGUGGUUACGAAAGCAAGUGGAACGCAUUUACAGUUUGAGUGCAAUAAACAUGUCGACAAUAUGUCAGUGCUUUCAAAGAAAUUCUAAGAAUAGUCUAUCUGAUAUAAUGGUUAAAGGACCGAAGCUAUAGAGGACAACAGUUUCAGAACCAAAUUUUGUCGGUGUUCGCAAUUAUUCAUAAACAAUAUUUAUAUAAUAAUCAGAGUGUUUGUACUGGAAUUUAAUUUCUAACAAUAAACCCUUUGAGGUUGGUGAAUAGUUAUAUCAAAAAGACUUUGGACAAUAUUGUGCAGGUGGUCAUUAAAAUCGGACCUACCAUAGAUCCGCAACCAAUAAGGAAACGGUUACUGCCAAGUUAGAGUUUAGCGGAAUGUAAUUAACUUUGGAAUACUAAAACAGAAGACCGGUGUUUAACCACAAGAUUGCUUUAAGAACUAGUGAAUGAAAUAUCAGUAGUGUGAAACCGACACGCGUAUAACCGGCCCAUAUGUGAAUUAACGUUAUAUUGAUAUCGAAGCGUAACUGUAGUGUUUGUCGCUGUUCGUGUUGAACUACUACCGUUGGUGUCUAGUUCAGCUAUGCCGUGUUACACAGCGAGAGAGUAACGUGGUAUAAGUCUACAUUGUAGGUUAUUUUAUAAGGGUGAUACAUAACUAACAGGACAUGUGCAUAGAAUUUAUAACGUGACGCUUUAUGCACCCAUUAUGUUCGUGUCCAACAUAAUUACACCUGUACAGUUACUCAAACUAUAAAAAAAGUUGUUAUAGACAUUGGAUUACGGAUUAGUGUACAUCUUAUAUCAUGGACUAGUUUAUUUUUUGCUUGUUAAAAAUGUGCAUAGGUUAUCUUAGAACUUAACGCUUUAUGCAUGCAUUACUUUGUUAAAAAGGGGUCGUAUGAAAGAAGUGGUAUUUUUGAAUGCUAGACGCGAGCCGUGUUUUAUAGACUACCGAUACUCCUCCGAUGUUUAAUAGUGCAGAACAUACUUUUAGAAGCGGAGUGCCACAAGCAGCAACCUUAGCAAUUAUUAGAUUGUAAUUCUCAAUAACAGAAUUAUCGGAAGUUUAAAAGCAGUGUGAUUUGUGAUUCAGUGAUUAUACAUCAAUAUUUAAAAGUGAGCGGAAAUUUGUCGUCAUAACUGGGAUAUUUCUCCAUGAAGCAGUGUACAAUAAUGACGUUAAUGUUUAGCAGGCUUGGUUAAAUACUCCUAUUAUUAACCAACUAAUAAUCACAUCAUUUCAGAUAAGAUUUUAACCAAACAAUGAAGAAAAGGAAAUAGACUCAGAGCAAGCCUUUUAACGAACGCGAAUAUGAAAAGUUGACGGAAAAAAUGAAUCGAUAAUCAUGCACGGAUAUAAAUGUUGUUAAAGAAGUUAAAUUCUAUAGAAUGUAAUAUGUUUUAUUAACGGGAAGUUUUUAUGUGCCGGUGAUAAAAUCUGAUAAAUCACGGUGAUAAAUAGAAAUUGUGUGAUUUUAUUUUAAGUGAAACGAAUAGUGUGUGCUGUUUUAUUGUGUGUAAUUAUAUGAAAUGGAUGAACAACACAAUAAGAACACUAUGUGAUGGAUUAUUGGAUUAGUACGGAUUAAGAGGAUCAACAUGAUUAGGAUAAUUUUUCUGAUUUUACACGUACUUCUCAUGUUUAAAACGUGGCCAGAAGUUGAAGGUGGCAAAUCCAGAAAGCGACAGUUGAAACCUAGUUUUGUGUCUGAAGUAACCAAUAUCACUGUACACGUUGGUGAGGAGGCUGUUUUACCUUGUACAAUACAUUACGUGGGAACCAGACAGGUAUCAUGGAAGAAGAUGGGAGAUGAUUUCUUUUUGACAAUAGGAGAUAUCACGUGGACCCGCACUGAUGAGAUUAGUGUAGAGCAUGAACAACAUGCUGAUGAAGUUAGCGACUGGCAUCUCGUGAUUAAAUCUGUCAGUUUUAAAGAUGCUGGUAUUUAUGAAUGUUCUAUUAUAGCCAAGAUGAAACAAACACACCAAAUCACUUUAAAUGUGUUAGAAGAAAGAGAGAAAAAAGAAGG
Patella vulgata (common limpet) is the source of this 2046-nucleotide long non-coding RNA. RefSeq lists it as uncharacterized. The transcript is spliced from 5 exons. The record is from RefSeq and is a predicted model, not a curated record. NCBI's taxonomy places the organism in Eukaryota, Metazoa, Mollusca, Gastropoda, Patellidae.